GAAGUGCUACUGUCUCUUGUGACCCAUCUUCUCCUAUACCAACUUCUUCCAGCACACCAUCACAGACAAAAUAAAGUUGGUCCACUACAUGCCCCUGUUCCAUGAUCACUUCUCCUGGGAGGAAAAAUUCUUCAUGCACUCGAGUUACAAUUUGACUUAUGAAUUCUGCGGAGCACUCCCUGAAAAGAGGAAUAUUUUCAAUGCAAGACAGAUAUAAAGUCUGGGAUAUCUUUGCACGAAUUGAGAUGGGAAG
Molecule: unclassified non-coding RNA, 253 nt
Filed under: Hevea brasiliensis (rubber tree)
Lineage: Eukaryota; Viridiplantae; Streptophyta; Magnoliopsida; Malpighiales; Euphorbiaceae
Source: RNAcentral